Molecule: ribosomal RNA, 236 nt
Filed under: uncultured bacterium
Lineage: Bacteria
Description: partial 16S ribosomal RNA
Rfam family: Bacterial small subunit ribosomal RNA
Source: RNAcentral
UGAGGAACAUGACCUUCGGCGGGGGAGUAGCCGGCCCAACGGCCGGGUAAUACCGCGUACGACCACAUGGGGACAUCCCCGAGUGGUGAAAGCAGCAAUGCGCCGAUGGAGUGCCUCGCGGCCUAUCAGCUAGUUGAUGAGGUAACGCUCACCAAGGCGACGACGGGUAGCUGGUCUGAGAGGAUGGCCAGCCACAGUUGGGACUGAGACACCGGCCCAGACCUGUACCGGGGAGG